This 225-nucleotide ribosomal RNA is filed under the name bacterium FV-30. Its description in RNAcentral is "partial 16S ribosomal RNA". It matches the Rfam family "Bacterial small subunit ribosomal RNA", at positions 1130 to 1353 of the family's 1533-position model. The record is from RNAcentral.
GGUGGGCACUCUAGAUAGACUGCCGGUGACAAACCGGAGGAAGGUGGGGAUGACGUCAAAUCAUCAUGCCCCUUAUGACCUGGGCUACACACGUACUACAAUGGCCGGUACAACGGGCUGCGAAAUCGCGAGAUGGAGCCAAUCCCAACAAAGCCGGUCUCAGUUCGGAUUGCAGGCUGCAACUCGCCUGCAUGAAGUCGGAAUUGCUAGUAAUCGCGGAUCAGC